GGAUAGUGGUGAACGGGUGAGUAACACGUAGGUGACCUGCCCCGAAGAGGGGGGUAACCGCUGGAAACGGCGGCUAAUACCCCAUGUAGUCGUGAGGGUUAGAGGCCUCAUGAUUAAAGCUCCGGCGCUUUGGGAGGGGCCUGCGGCUUAUCAGCUAGUUGGUGGGGUAAUGGCUCACCAAGGCAAUGACGGGUAGCUGGUCUGAGAGGACGAUCAGCCACAUGGGCACUGAGACACGGGCCCGACUCCUACGGGAGGCAGCAGUGAGGGAUAUUGCGCAAUGGGCGAAAGCCUGACGCAGCAACGCCGCGUGGGCGAUGAAGGCCUUCGGGUUGUAAAGCCCUUUUCUGGGGGAAGAGGAAGGACGGUACCCCAGGAAUAAGUCCCGGCUAACUACGUGCCAGCAGCCGCGGUAAGACGUAGGGGACAAGUGUUAUCCGGAUUCACUGGGCGUAAAGCGCGUGCAGGUGGUGCUUUAAGUUGGGCGUGAAAUCUCCCGGCUUAACUGGGAGGAGUCGUUCAAUACUGGAGCACUUGAGGGCAGGAGAGGAAAGUGGAAUUCCCGGU
Molecule: ribosomal RNA, 567 nt
Filed under: uncultured bacterium
Lineage: Bacteria
Description: bacterial SSU rRNA
Rfam family: Bacterial small subunit ribosomal RNA
Source: RNAcentral